RNAcentral lists this long non-coding RNA (1710 nucleotides) under Amborella trichopoda. RNAcentral describes it as "long non-coding RNA (ATRI_LNC005081)". The record is from RNAcentral. Lineage: Eukaryota; Viridiplantae; Streptophyta; Magnoliopsida; Amborellales; Amborellaceae.
AAUAAUGGGCCUAAUUAAAAUUUGAGCAUGAAGCAAAUUUAAUGAGCAUCGACGGAGUAACAAGUGAAGGCGUCCAGGAGUAGUAAUGAGUGAAGAAAAUGCUUGGGCGAAUUGUCCCACCUCGCUCGAUGCUCUAUAAAUAGCCUAAAACAAAAGGCUCUGACAUUCCUCUUGGAAAAAAUAAAACUGAUUUAUGAUUCGAUCUCCAUAGUAUCGAACGAGUCUAAGGAGUACCGAUCGAGUCUAAACAGUACAUCCGACCAAAGCAGUAAAACCUUACCACCGAUCCGAGUCUGCACUAACAGCAGUACAUCCGAUCAAAGCAGCACAACCGACCACCAAUCCGAGUCCGAGUCUGGACAGUAAAGCACAUCUGACGCCCGCACAGUACACCGAUCCAAGUCAAGUCAGCAAGCACAUCCGAGAGUCCGGACAGUAAAACACAUCUGCCCCCGCACAGUACAUGGAUCCGAGUCAAGUCAGCUCGCACAUUCGACCCCGCACAAUACACCGAUCCGAGUCAAGUCACCAAGCACAUCCUCCCCCGUACAGUACACCGAUCCGAGUCAAGUCAGCAAGCACAGUAAAAAACAAGUAAAAUUGCCGGAUACCAAUCAGGGACAGUUUUAACCGACCUUUGAUCUGGAUCAAGAAUGAUCGAUUUUGAAUGGCGGAUCAUACGAUAAGAACUAAAUGAUACAAGCUCAUCUAAGACAACACAGAUAUCUCAAAAAAUGAUCAAUCAUAAAGCUAAGAACUCAUUGGCAUAAGACUAAGACCACGACUUUUGGACUUAGCAAUAUUUUUUUUGUGUGAUUGUCACUGCCCUAUUUUGGCCUCCAGAAUGUUUUGAGAAAUAUUGGAUGUAUGAUAGUCACUGCCCUAUUUUGGCCUCCAGAAUCUUUUGGGAAAAUAUUGGAAGAUUCUAGAUGUUCUUGAGGGUCAGCUUGGUCAACCAUGACAAGUUUUUUAUUGCUCUUGACCAAAAUUCGACCCUAGAAAUGAUAGUCCUAAACUAUUAGAGCUCCUAAUCCCCAUCAGAUUACUGCCGAUUGAAGCCUUUCAUAAUCCAUAUCAAAAAAAAAAAAAUCACUCGAAAAUCCUAGAAUAACCAAAAAUCCUUUAAAUUAGAGCAAACCUUAGAGAAACGCUAGAUCUAGGAAGCCCAGGAGAAUCAACCCUAAGCCAAACUAAUUCUCUAUAGUUUUCAAAACCCUAAAUAAAAAAAAACCCUUGGAAGAACAUUCUAGAGGCAUCUAUCUAUUUACAUCAAAACCUAGGAAGUUUUUUUUGAUAAAUCCUCUCUGAUUUUAUGCCAUAAAAUCAAUUAGUUUUAAAAAUCAGUAGAGAUUCAUGGGGAAGGUUGAAUUGCCAUCUGGAGAUGGAUUAACCGCGAUGGGACAAUUGCCUUGUUGGCAACACCACCAAAUUUUCCUACAAAAACAAUACUAAUAUAAAUCUUAAAGGAAAUAAAUUUGAAGGGAAAAAAAAAUAAGACUUUACCAAACUAGGGUAGUAGGCCCGGCUCGCCUGAAACUCAGAGUUGACACCUGUAUCAAACUGCAGAUUUGUUUAUACUGAUCUCCUUCUAUUUCUUGAAGAAUGCUUGAGACAUGUUCGUCAUAGGGCUUAGUUUAAGGUUUUAAAAUAUUGAUGGAAUUAAGGUUAUGGAUUCCUAGAUCUAUGUUAGAGUUUGGGUGAACUUUAUUG